This 314-nucleotide unclassified non-coding RNA is filed under the name uncultured Pleosporales. Its description in RNAcentral is "sequence contains ITS1". The stretch from base 1 to 105 matches the Rfam family "5.8S ribosomal RNA", at positions 50 to 154 of the family's 154-position model. Lineage: Eukaryota; Fungi; Ascomycota; Dothideomycetes; Pleosporales. The record is from RNAcentral.
GAAAUGCGAUAAGUAGUGUGAAUUGCAGAAUUCAGUGAAUCAUCGAAUCUUUGAACGCACAUUGCGCCCCUUGGUAUUCCAUGGGGCAUGCCUGUUCGAGCGUCAUUUGUACCUUCAAGCUUUGCUUGGUGUUGGGCGUCCUUGUCUUCCCCCCCUUGGGGGGGGUGGAGACUCGCCUUAAAACAAUUGGCAGCCGGCAUAUUGGUAUCGGAGCGCAGCACAAGUCGCGCUUCUUUCCAUGAAUGUCAGCGUCCAUCAAGACGUAUUUUUUCACUCUUGACCUCGGAUCAGGUAGGGAUACCCGCUGAACUUAA